Megalobrama amblycephala (Wuchang bream) is the source of this 1065-nucleotide long non-coding RNA. RefSeq lists it as uncharacterized. The transcript has 5 exons. The record is from RefSeq and is a predicted model, not a curated record. NCBI's taxonomy places the organism in Eukaryota, Metazoa, Chordata, Actinopteri, Cypriniformes, Xenocyprididae.
CGUUUAGAUCUACAUCAAAUACAAUAGAUUAAUAAAAUCGCUAGAUGUACGAUGUUAACUGUGACGUAAUUUGAAUGGGAAACCACUAGCAGCGCUCACGGACUUUCGGAGUACUGCGCAUGCGCGUCACUUUGAACUGUAACGGUCGUCAGUCAACCGGGAGUUCUCGGAGUAAAAGCUGUAGAGUGUUUGGGAGACCGUGCUGCCUGCUGUUGUCGAUCUAUGAUGCUCCUGUCACUGAUAGUGGCCUGUAACGUAAGUUUUUUUGGGGGGGGGGCUAAAUUUAAUGUUUUACUAAACUUGUUAAUUAGGCACACGUUAUUUUCUCGUUAUUAAAGUUCAGGCAUAUGCUGGUUUGGCAUUAAUGGCAUUUCAUACGCUCAAUUUUUCUACUAUUAUUAUUAUCAUUAUUAAUAUAGCCUUACUAUAAUAUAAUUUUUAUUCACUUUCUGCUGAAUGACAAGCUGUUUUCGAAUAUCCAGUUGAGCCAGUGAUUCAGUAAGUUGCUUGUAACAGAAGAUGCUUAUUUGUCACGACUUACAGGUUUACAUGUGUCAUUCAUUACUGUAAAAAAAUCUACUUUUUAUUUUCAGUAGCAGAAGCAGAGACGGUCUGUGCAACAGCAACAAGGUGCGGGUCAAAACCCAUCUGUCAAGACGCUUGUCCACUUGCUGUCCACCCCACCAGCCCAACGAUUGUGCUGGAGAACCACAAGUCACAGAAAAAGAGAAUGUCAUAAUCAACUGGAACAGCAUGAGGUGGUAGAGGCAGAAGAAGUGCCUUUGAUGAGGAAACCAUGGCAGCCAUAUAUACAGUAAGUUAAUACUUAGUGAAAGGAAAAUUUACUAGAAACAUUAAGUUAAAAAAAUAACUGAUUUUUGUCUCACAGUCAAGAAGAGAUUUCCAAAUGUGUCCAAAGAGGCUUUGAGGAUUUGACGUGGGGAAACUGAGACUUCUUGAAAGCAAAAAAGUUAAUUUUUUGAACAUUGUAAAGUAUGUUCCUUGCUGAUUUUUAUUCAAAUGUUCACGUGUUAUAGACAACAAAUAAAAGUUUUUCAAAUGUGA